This 251-nucleotide unclassified non-coding RNA is filed under the name plant metagenome. RNAcentral describes it as "partial contains small subunit ribosomal RNA, internal transcribed spacer 1, and 5.8S ribosomal RNA". The stretch from base 203 to 251 matches the Rfam family "5.8S ribosomal RNA", at positions 1 to 49 of the family's 154-position model. The record is from RNAcentral.
UCUCCGUUGGUGAACCAGCGGAGGGAUCAUUACAGAGUUGCAAAACUCCCAAACCAUUGUGAACGUUACCUAUCCCGUUGCUUCGGCGGGCGGCCCGGGCCCCGCGCCCGGCGCCCCCCGGCCCCCCGUGGGCGCCCGCCGGAGGUAAACCAAACCCUUGAAUUGCAUGGCCUCUCUGAGUCUUCUGUACUGAAUAAGUCAAAACUUUCAACAACGGAUCUCUUGGUUCUGGCAUCGGUGAAGAACGCAGC